AUACGGAGGGGGCUAGCGUUAUUCGGAAUUACUGGGCGUAAAGAGUUCGUAGGCGGACUGGAAAGUUAGAGGUGAAAGCCCAGGGCUCAACCCUGGAACGGCCUUUAAAACUUCCAGUCUAGAGACAGAUAGAGGUAAGGGGAAUACUUAGUGUAGAGGUGAAAUUCGUAGAUAUUAAGUGGAACACCAGUGGCGAAGGCGCCUUACUGGAUCUGUACUGACGCUGAGGCACGAAAGCGUGGGGAGCGAACAGGAUUAGAAACCCCAGUAGUCC
This 274-nucleotide ribosomal RNA is filed under the name uncultured bacterium. Its description in RNAcentral is "partial 16S ribosomal RNA". It matches the Rfam family "Bacterial small subunit ribosomal RNA", at positions 523 to 796 of the family's 1533-position model. The record is from RNAcentral.